RNAcentral lists this ribosomal RNA (253 nucleotides) under uncultured bacterium. Its description in RNAcentral is "partial 16S ribosomal RNA". It matches the Rfam family "Bacterial small subunit ribosomal RNA", at positions 524 to 776 of the family's 1533-position model. The record is from RNAcentral.
UACGUAGGGUGCAAGCGUUGUCCGGAAUUAUUGGGCGUAAAGAGCUUGUAGGCGGUUUGUCGCGUCUGCUGUGAAAUUUCGGGGCUCAACCCCGAACUUGCAGUGGGUACGGGCAGGCUAGAGUGUGGUAGGGGAGACUGGAAUUCCUGGUGUAGCGGUGAAAUGCGCAGAUAUCAGGAGGAACACCGAUGGCGAAGGCAGGUCUCUGGGCCACUACUGACGCUGAGAAGCGAAAGCGUGGGGAGCGAACAGG